This 435-nucleotide ribosomal RNA is filed under the name uncultured bacterium. Its description in RNAcentral is "partial 16S ribosomal RNA". It matches the Rfam family "Bacterial small subunit ribosomal RNA", at positions 28 to 507 of the family's 1533-position model. The record is from RNAcentral.
GAUGAACGCUGGCGGUAUGCUUAACACAUGCAAGUCGAACGGACUCUUCGGAGUUAGUGGCGGACGGGUGAGUAACGCGUGAGAAUCUGGCUUUGGGUUCGGGACAACCACUGGAAACGGUGGCUAAUACCGGAUGUGCCGAGAGGUAAAAGAGAAAUUGCCUGAAGAUGAGGUCGCGUCUGAUUAGCUAGUUGGUGAGGUAAAGGCUCACCAAGGCAGCGAUCAGUAGCUGGUCGGAGAGGAUGACCAGCCACGCGGGGACUGAGACACGGCCCAGACUCCUACGGGAGGCAGGAGUGGGGAAUGUUCCGGAAUGGGCGAAAGCCUGACGGAGCAAUACCGCGUGAGGGAAGAAGGCUCUUGGGUUGUAAACCUCUUUUCUUAGGGAAGAACAAAAUGACGGUACCUAAGGAAUCAGCAUCGGCUAACUCCGUG